This 252-nucleotide ribosomal RNA is filed under the name uncultured bacterium. Its description in RNAcentral is "partial 16S ribosomal RNA". It matches the Rfam family "Bacterial small subunit ribosomal RNA", at positions 524 to 776 of the family's 1533-position model. The record is from RNAcentral.
UACGGAGGAUGCGAGCGUUAUCCGGAUUUAUUGGGUUUAAAGGGUGCGUAGGCGGGCUUUUAAGUCAGCGGUAAAAAUUCGGGGCUCAACCCCGUCCGGCCGUUGAAACUGGGGGCCUUGAGUGGGCGAGAAGAAGGCGGAAUGCGUGGUGUAGCGGUGAAAUGCAUAGAUAUCGCGCAGAACCCCGAUUGCGAAGGCAGCCUUCCGGCGCCCUACUGACGCUGAGGCACGAAAGUGCGGGGAUCGAACAGG